UGUUGAGGAAUGGAACAUGCUGUGAAAGCCGGAACUAGUGGGGAGGCUUCAGCAGAUCUAGGAGCCCAUUUAGCUAUCACACAUUCUCAAGAGGCUCUGGGCUCUGGUACUAUAAAGAUGGAGAAAACAGUGAGAAGUGAAAAUAAGGACGAGCCCCCAAAAGCCUGCAUACAGAGGGGUUGGACCCACCCCAACCUACAGAUUGUAGGCAGUCCAGGUGAAAAACAGAAGGCUCUUCCCUAAAAAAAAAAAAAAUGGAAUGAACAAUCUGGGAAAACCCACAGCUUCUAGUAUGGCUUCUACAACCCCAGAAUAAAGCCUCUCUUCAUUCCAGCCCUUAAGGGGCCUGAAUUCUAACACAUCUAUUCCCCCAAAACCAGAACUCACUCUAAAUUCCCACUCAGGGAGAGAUAUAUUGGGAGGAGGGACAGAAAAGAAACUCCAUUUACACAACAAAUCACUAUCCCAUCUGCGUAAACUGAAUAAUGCAUCCCUUUCCCAAAAUGUUACCUUAUAUGUGAAAAGGGACUCAGCAAAUAUGAUUAAAUCAAUGAUUUUGAGAUGGGAAAUUCCCCUGAAUUAUGUUGUAGGCCCAAGGUAAUCGUAAUCAUGAGGGUCCAUAUCACAGCGAGGCCAGGAAUGACAGGGUCAGAAAGAAGGCAUUGUGACAAUGACAGCACCAAGAGGACAGGUGACAUGACAUAGGGCUGCAAGCAGGAAUGCUGUGGGCCUGUAGAGGCUGGAAAGUCAAGGAAACAUACUUUUUUCCCCUGGAACCUCCAGAAGGAGCCAAGGCUUCCAACAACUUCAUUUUAGUUUUUGAACCCCACUUGGGAGAACACUGCUCUAAAUAAUUACUAAGUGGGAUAAUAAGUGUAACAAGUGGAAUAUUAAAGUGGAGGAAUGGUAGAGGCAUUGCAGAUGGCAGCACAGACAGUAUAAACCACAAACUGGAGAUCACUGGCCAAGCGGACCCAGUCCGAACUUCUCAACAUGAAAUUUCUGGAAUAAUGCUCACCUAAGAUUAACAGCAGUCGUUUCCGGAAGCAAUGUUCCAGAUAGUUCAUUCUAAAAACGACUCAAGAUGACAUGACAUGGGUCAGAGCUGCAGUCAAUCCUCAAAGGACACGUGACAUAAGUAUGAAAUAAGCCUUUUUUGUUCUAAGCCACUGAGGUUUAGGAUCAUGUUUACCAAAGCAAAACCAAGCUAAAAAUUAAUGGUAAUCUUAAGUAUUCUGGGAAUAAGCAGAAAUAUAUUUUUAAAAGAAGAAAAUAAAACUUUGUAUUACUAAGUAAGAGGCAGAGCACUGACGACAAAAUCUCAACUCCUUACACAAACCGGUCCUAACCUCCCUCUUUCCCUUCAUCUCCUACAGCAGGAACCUUUCUCCCCAUACUCUGGCUAACCUGGUCUUCAUCAUCAUUUAUUUUCCUUGAACACUUCCAGCUUGCUCUCUUCU
This 1460-nucleotide long non-coding RNA is filed under the name Homo sapiens (human). Its description in RNAcentral is "HSALNT0391157". The record is from RNAcentral. Lineage: Eukaryota; Metazoa; Chordata; Mammalia; Primates; Hominidae.